Molecule: long non-coding RNA, 392 nt
Organism: Myiozetetes cayanensis
Lineage: Eukaryota; Metazoa; Chordata; Aves; Passeriformes; Tyrannidae
Exons: 3
Source: RefSeq, a predicted model, not a curated record
AGUACAUGACCCUGCCACGGAUCAGAGGGGCACCGUGUGAAGGAAAGGGAGAGACGAAGAGAGCACCAGGAUAAUCCUCUCAGACAGAGUGUCCUGCAACCUGCCCAGCCACUGUUUUGAGGAAGUGUCUUGGACUUCAGAGCAAGACAGUGUGAUGGAAGCAGUGGCACUGCAUGCCCUUGGAUGGUCUGGAUUUGGUCCAGCUGGGGAGGAUGAGACUGAUGCUAGCAAGCAAGUAAAAUCCUGGUGACAUCUAGUGGCUGCUGGGAAUCCACCGUGGCAUGAGAGGUGAGAACGCCUUCCCUCUGCACAUUUAAGCCUGCUGUGCACAAAACAGAGAUGGAAAUAUCACGCCUUUCAAGACCAACAGACUUCCACAACCUGAAUUUAGA